Molecule: non-coding RNA, 222 nt
Organism: Vicia faba (fava bean)
Lineage: Eukaryota; Viridiplantae; Streptophyta; Magnoliopsida; Fabales; Fabaceae
Source: the annotation of a GenBank genome assembly
AUGAUAGAGGUGGUGUUGAACGAUCGAUUGGGGAAGAAGGUUCGUGUGAAGUGCAACGAUGAUGAUACUAUUGGGGAUUUGAAGAAACUGGUGGCGGCACAGACUGGUACAAGGGCCGACAAGAUCCGAAUCCAGAAGUGGUAUACUAUCUACAAAGAUCAUAUCACUCUUAGGGAUUACGAGAUCCAUGAUGGCAUGGGUCUUGAACUCUACUACAACUGA